RNAcentral lists this ribosomal RNA (471 nucleotides) under uncultured bacterium. RNAcentral's name for it is "partial 16S ribosomal RNA". It matches the Rfam family "Bacterial small subunit ribosomal RNA", at positions 29 to 523 of the family's 1533-position model. The record is from RNAcentral.
AACGAACGCUGGCGGCAUGGAUUAGGCAUGCAAGUCGAACGCAUAUAGCAAUAUAUGAGUGGCGAAAGGGUGAGGAACACGUGAGUAACCUGCCCUCAAGUUGGGAAUAACACCGGGAAACUGGUGCUAAUACCGAAUGUGGCUGAUGAACCGCAUGGUUUAUCAUCUAAAGAUUUUAUCGCUUGAGGAGGGGCUCGCGUCCCAUUAGCUAGUUGGUGAGGUAACGGCCCACCAAGGCGACGAUGGGUAGCUGGUCUGAGAGGAUGGCCAGCCACACUGGGACUGAGACACUGCCCAGACUCCUACGGGAGGCUGCAGUCGAGAAUCUUGGGCAAUGCGCGAAAGCGUGACCCAGCAAUGCCGCGUGCAGGAUGAAGGCCUUCGGGUUGUAAACUGCUGUCAACAGGGACGAAGGAUUGACGGUACCUGUAGAGGAAGCCACGGCUAACUACGUGCCAGCCGCCGCGGUAA